This is an RNA transcript of Phragmites australis (common reed), 2173 nucleotides long. It is a transcript of the gene named NAC domain-containing protein 75-like, with no coding region annotated. Lineage: Eukaryota; Viridiplantae; Streptophyta; Magnoliopsida; Poales; Poaceae. The transcript is spliced from 6 exons. The record is from RefSeq and is a predicted model, not a curated record.
UUACUUCCUCAAAAACCCCCAUCACCCUCAUCUUCUUCUCUCCUUUCCUCUCCCCUCUCUCCUUCGCCCCAUCUUCCUCCUCCGGCCUUGCGAAAUCCUGUACAUGUGAUCAUACGCACAGCCUGAGAAGGUAAGGAAGCCUGCUAUUGUACUCUGCGCAGCGAGAAGAAUUGAAAGCAACGAUGGACGGUGCAGCAACGGCAGCAACCGGCGGCAGCGGCGACUACAGCAGGCACCGCCUCAUCGGCUCGAGGAUCCAGGAGCACCGGAAGUACAUGUCGGAGUCUAGCUGCUGCCCGCGGUGCGGCUACAAGAUCGACCGGCUGCUGGACUGGGUGGGGCUUCCGUCCGGGGUGAAGUUCGACCCGACGGAUCAGGAGCUGAUUGAGCACCUGGAGGCGAAGGUCCGGCCCGACGUCGCGGCGGCGCCGUCGCACCGGUUGAUCGACGAGUUCAUACCCACCAUUGAGGGGGAGGACGGCAUCUGCUACACCCAUCCUGAGAAAUUGCCAGGUUUGACCAAGGAUGGCCUGAGCAGGCACUUCUUCCACCGGCCGUCCAAAGCCUACACCACCGGGACGCGCAAGCGCCGCAAGAUCCAGCCGCAUGCCGCCGCCUCCUCCUCGUCCUCCGCAACCGCCGCGAAGACGCAGCAGCAGCAGCAGCGGAGCGAGACGCGGUGGCACAAGACCGGUAAGACGCGGCCGGUGGUGGUGGGCGGCCAGCAUCGGGGGUGCAAGAAGAUCCUGGUGCUCUACACCAACUUCGGCAAGCACCGCAAGCCGGAGAAGACCAACUGGGUGAUGCACCAGUACCACCUCGGCGAUAACGAGGAGGAGCGCGAGGGCGAGCUCGUCGUGUCCAAGAUCUUCUUCCAAACGCAGCCGAGGCAGUGCGGCGUCGCGGCGGAACCCUCCGCCGCCUCCUCUGACACCGUGGAUGGGACUACUGACCUUGCGGCGGCGCCCAUGGUGGCCUCAUCCGAUAUCGGCGCGGUGUUCCCGGGCGGCCCCGGCAUUGGCGAGUUCAGCUUCGCGCAGUUCAGGAGCAGCUUCGAGGAGGUGGGCAUGGGAGCAACAAGUUUGGUUCAGGCUAGGGUUGACGAGGAAGUGCAUACAGGGCAUCAAAACAUUCACCAGGAGCAUGAUCUACAGCAUCAAUACGCCGACCAGGAUCAGCAGCACAUGGCCGCAGCUGCGGCAGCAUUCCACAUCAGCGCGCCGCCAGAUCCCGUCACCACGUUGAUCACUCUGCCACCGGUGGUUCACCAUGGUUCCAUCACACUACAAUCGCAAGAGCCAUAUCAUGCCGUGAAUUAUCGUCAUCAGCAGUUAGGAGGACGGACGGCCACACCAACCUCAGAAGUUUGAUGGACGGUCUACUUCUGGGCUUGAAGAGGUGAUCAUGAACUGCACUUCAAGGAGGUCCAAAAGAGGGGAAACAUCAGGAGGUAAUAAAGAGAGCACAGAAUGGCAGUACCCAUCCUUCUGGCCAUCUGACAGCCAGGAUCAUCAUGCAUAGAAGAGCAACACCUCUGCCACCUUGAGUAUUAGCAAAUCUUGGGAGAGGCAACCAAACGCAAACCAAGGCCCUGGCACCAUCAUCACUCCCAUGAUAUGAUCAGUAUACCAUAGGCUACAAGGAGGCUAAAAGCACAAAGGUUAGCAGGACAUCCAGGAAACAAGCAAGGCAAAGUUAUAGCAACACAAUCUAAACCGAGCUUUUUAUUCUCUCUCUCUGUCUCCAAACCCAGCUUCUCUCUCAUGUUUCUUUCUCUUCAACCAAUGCAUCUGGAUAACGGGAUGGAAGUUUUAUUUGAGGGCUCAAAUUUACAUGUCUAAAGAGAUAAACAUGAUAUUGGUGGAAAAGCAAAAGGGGGAAUCGGGAAAAGAAAAGUUAGUGACAUAAACCAAAGGUGACGUCACAAGAGAACGGUCAGUUUAGUCGUCGGUUGUGCACAGCGAUCGAUGCAAAUCAUUACUGUAAUCAUCGUCCUUCUACCUUUUUCGUCAAACUGUUGUUAUAGUCUAAUAAUCAGGAAUCGAUACACCAUUAUACAAUUCGUUGCUUUCCUGAUUGUAAUUGUUUAAUUGGUUAAUUGUACAGAUCAUUUUCUUUUUCUCGUAUAUAUAUCGAGCAAAUUAAGAAGCUAACAUUUGGGGAAAGAAUGAAA